This 497-nucleotide ribosomal RNA is filed under the name uncultured bacterium. Its description in RNAcentral is "partial 16S ribosomal RNA". It matches the Rfam family "Bacterial small subunit ribosomal RNA", at positions 28 to 507 of the family's 1533-position model. The record is from RNAcentral.
GACGAACGCUGGCGGCGUGCCUAAUACAUGCAAGUUGAGCGCUGAAGGUUGGUACUUGUACCAACUGGAUGAGCCGCGAACGGGUGAGUAACGCGUGGGGAAUCUGCCUUUGAGCGGGGGACAACAUUUGGAAACGAAUGCUAAUACCGCAUAAAAACUUUAAACACAAGUUUUAAGUUUGAAAGAUGCAAUUGCAUCACUCAAAGAUGAUCCCGCGUUGUAUUAGCUAGUUGGUGAGGUAAAGGCUCACCAAGGCGAUGAUACAUAGCCGACCUGAGAGGGUGAUCGGCCACAUUGGGACUGAGACACGGCCCAAACUCCUACGGGAGGCAGCAGUAGGGAAUCUUCGGCAAUGGACGAAAGUCUGACCGAGCAACGCCGCGUGAGUGAAGAAGGUUUUCGGAUCGUAAAACUCUGUUGGUAGAGAAGAACGUUGGUGAGAGUGGAAAGCUCAUCAAGUGACGGUAACUACCCAGAAAGGGACGGCUAACUACGUG